Non-coding RNA from Ictidomys tridecemlineatus (thirteen-lined ground squirrel), 69 nucleotides. The record is from Rfam. NCBI's taxonomy places the organism in Eukaryota, Metazoa, Chordata, Mammalia, Rodentia, Sciuridae.
GGGAUUAUGGCUCAGCCGUAGAGCGCUCAUCUAGCACGUGAGAGGCCCUGGGUUCAAUCCUCAGCACCA